RNAcentral lists this ribosomal RNA (640 nucleotides) under Pseudomonas sp. RNAcentral describes it as "bacterial SSU rRNA". It matches the Rfam family "Bacterial small subunit ribosomal RNA", at positions 53 to 689 of the family's 1533-position model. Lineage: Bacteria; Pseudomonadati; Pseudomonadota; Gammaproteobacteria; Pseudomonadales; Pseudomonadaceae. The record is from RNAcentral.
ACAUGCAGUCGAGCGGUAGAGAGAAGCUUGCUUCUCUUGAGAGCGGCGGACGGGUGAGUAAUGCCUAGGAAUCUGCCUGGUAGUGGGGGAUAACGUUCGGAAACGGACGCUAAUACCGCAUACGUCCUACGGGAGAAAGCAGGGGACCUUCGGGCCUUGCGCUAUCAGAUGAGCCUAGGUCGGAUUAGCUAGUUGGUGAGGUAAUGGCUCACCAAGGCGACGAUCCGUAACUGGUCUGAGAGGAUGAUCAGUCACACUGGAACUGAGACACGGUCCAGACUCCUACGGGAGGCAGCAGUGGGGAAUAUUGGACAAUGGGCGAAAGCCUGAUCCAGCCAUGCCGCGUGUGUGAAGAAGGUCUUCGGAUUGUAAAGCACUUUAAGUUGGGAGGAAGGGUUGUAGAUUAAUACUCUGCAAUUUUGACGUUACCGACAGAAUAAGCACCGGCUAACUCUGUGCCAGCAGCCGCGGUAAUACAGAGGGUGCAAGCGUUAAUCGGAAUUACUGGGCGUAAAGCGCGCGUAGGUGGUUUGUUAAGUUGGAUGUGAAAUCCCCGGGCUCAACCUGGGAACUGCAUUCAAAACUGACUGACUAGAGUAUGGUAGAGGGUGGUGGAAUUUCCUGUGUAGCGGUGAAAUGC